RNAcentral lists this transfer RNA (67 nucleotides) under Fukomys damarensis (Damara mole-rat). It matches the Rfam family "tRNA". Rfam says of the family: Transfer RNA (tRNA) molecules are approximately 80 nucleotides in length. Their secondary structure includes four short double-helical elements and three loops (D, anti-codon, and T loops). Lineage: Eukaryota; Metazoa; Chordata; Mammalia; Rodentia; Bathyergidae. The record is from Rfam by way of RNAcentral.
GAGUGUGGCUCAGUGGUAGAGCACUUGCCUAGCAUGCACAAAGCCCUGGGUUCCGUCCCCAGCACUC